GCUACCGCUGCCCACCACCCCACACAGGGGACAUUAGGAACCAGGCAGGGAGACCCCCAUCCCAGCCCGCCCACCCCCAUCAGCAACUGCAGCCUCCAGGGUAGCUCCACCCAUGUUCCUCGCUCCCACCUUCCCAGGCUCACCUCCCGAGUUUCACACAGGGGCCUCUUCUCGGUAGAGCUUCGGGGAAAUCCAGGGAAGUUGUUUUCUAGUUUCUUAAUGCUGACAACGCAGGAAGCUACACCUGAGGGAGGUUAGAACGGGCCUUGAGCCAACGGGCAGGGUCGGCCACAGCUCCCACUGUGCCCCUGCCCAGACAAGGUUGGGAGUUCCCUAAAUGCCUGUUAGGACGAACACAGACAUUCAUAUGGUUGAAUGAACACUUCAGACCUUCUCGUGGUGCUGCUGCCCACCAGCCACUUGUUUCUGUGGUGUCACCAUCUUUGUUUAGCAACAUUCAUUUUACAGCUGCAUGAACUCGCACUUGCCCUUGUUCUUUUUCAUCCCUCAAAUGAGUAGAAAAACAGAAUUGAGUGAUAAUAUUUGUGCUAUUAAGCAUAGGUCUUAUAAGUUUAAUAAAACUGAAAAAUUGCCAGUAGUACCCCAAGCAGUUAACCUAUGACCUCAAUUCCUCAUUGAGGAAAAGAGAUCAGUUACAUGUAAACUUGUAACACGAUAGAGACAUGUAUUUUUUAAGAUUUUAUUUUUAAGUAAUCUUUUCACCCAACAUGGGGCUCAGACUCACAACCCCAAGAUCAACAGUCACAUGCUCCACGGACUGGGCCAGCCAGGUGCCCCUGCUAAAUAUCAUUGAAAAAUACAUCUGAUGGACCAACUGUCAUUAGAUAAGCCGUUUAUCUGGCUGAGAGGGAAGUGUAGACAUGGGGAAAUGGCAGCGGAGAGGAAGAUGCCCUCCUCACCACAGCAGCAGGGGGCUGAAGGGGUGUAAGGGGCUGAGGAGUGCCAUGCUGUGUUGAUCAUGGGUAGGGCGCCAUGGGCUACGCAGAGCUUAAGUGUGGAACUUCACCAAAUAACCAAAACCAUCUUAAUUGGGAACCAGUGGAGUCAUUGCUGGAGCUAGGGGGCCACCCUGUGGCUAAGUAUCAAAAAAUGAGGUUCCCCCCCCUACAUUUCUGCAAUUAAUCUUUUCAUCCAAAGAGUAGAUAGGAACACCAGGACAACAUUUCCUCAGUUUCUGCUCAGGAAGUUCUGGCCAUCCAAGCUAGAAUAUUUAGGCCACAUAUGUGCCUAGACCAGCAUCAUCAACACCACUUAGGAACUUGUUAGAAAUGCAGAUUUUUAGGUCUACCCCAAAACCACUGGAAUCAGGAAAUAGGGAUGGGGUUGGCCAUGAGGGUUUUAAUAAUCACCUCCAGGUGAUUCUGAUACCAGGUAAAGUCUGAGAACCACCAGCUUAGACCCCCUGGGUAAAAGAGCAUCUCCCUGAGCUGGGCUAGCAUAGCAGCUGUACUAAUUGUUGCUGUUUAUAAUUAUUGUAUCACUCAUUCAUUCAGCAACCGUUGUGUUUCAUUCAUUCAACAAACAUCUAGAGAAAGCAAGAAAGCCUAUAUGAUUGGAGCAGAGUGGCUGAGGGGAAUGGAGGAAAGGAGUUUUGAGAGGCAGGCAGGGGCCAGGUCGUGUAGACAAGUAGACCACAGUAAGGACUGAUGUGUCAUCGGAGAUAUAAGACUCUUAUAAAUAAUCGCUGCGGCUAUGGAUGGAGAGCAGACCAUCGUUGGAAGCAGAACAGAUAAGAGGCUGGAACAAAGCUCAGAAGAGGAGGAGUGGUGACUUGGAUUGGGGUGUGGCAUUAGACGUGUUGCCAUGGCUGGUUCUGGAUGGAUUCUGAAGGUAGAGCCAGUAGGACUUACGGAUGGAUUGGAUGUGAGAUGAGGCUGAGGGGAAUCUAGGUGGGCCCCAGGGUUUUAUGCCUGAGCAAAACAUAUUUAGUGAGAAAUGACUAAGUGCGUACUAAAGAUAUACUUACGACGUAUUGCAUUGCAUAAAGAUCAAAUAUUUUAGUAGGCAAGACCAAUUAAAUGAAGAUUAU
Molecule: long non-coding RNA, 2050 nt
Filed under: Vulpes vulpes (red fox)
Lineage: Eukaryota; Metazoa; Chordata; Mammalia; Carnivora; Canidae
Description: lncRNA (ENSVVUG00000027583.1)
Source: RNAcentral